GGGUGAGUAAUAUAUCGGAACGUGCCCAGUCGUGGGGGAUAACGUAGCGAAAGCUACGCUAAUACCGCAUACGAUCUAUGGAUGAAAGCGGGGGAUCGCAAGACCUCGCGCGAUUGGAGCGGCCGAUAUCAGAUUAGGUAGUUGGUGAGGUAAAGGCUCACCAAGCCGACGAUCUGUAGCUGGUCUGAGAGGACGACCAGCCACACUGGGACUGAGACACGGCCCAGACUCCUACGGGAGGCAGCAGUGGGGAAUUUUGGACAAUGGGCGCAAGCCUGAUCCAGCAAUGCCGCGUGCAGGAUGAAGGCCUUCGGGUUGUAAACUGCUUUUGUACGGAACGAAACGGUGAGCUCUAAUACAGUUUGCUAAUGACGGUACCGUAAGAAUAAGCACCGGCUAACUACGUGCCAGCAGCCGCGGUAAUACGUAGGGUGCGAGCGUUAAUCGGAAUUACUGGGCGUAAAGCGUGCGCAGGCGGUGAUGUAAGACAGAUGUGAAAUGCCCGGGCUCAACCUGGGACCUGCAUUUGUGACUGCAUCGCUAGAGUACGGUAGA
RNAcentral lists this ribosomal RNA (555 nucleotides) under uncultured Curvibacter sp. RNAcentral describes it as "bacterial SSU rRNA". It matches the Rfam family "Bacterial small subunit ribosomal RNA", at positions 104 to 655 of the family's 1533-position model. The record is from RNAcentral. Lineage: Bacteria; Pseudomonadati; Pseudomonadota; Betaproteobacteria; Burkholderiales; Comamonadaceae.